RNAcentral lists this microRNA precursor (77 nucleotides) under Mus pahari (shrew mouse). RNAcentral's name for it is "miRNA (MGP_PahariEiJ_G0006901.1)". Lineage: Eukaryota; Metazoa; Chordata; Mammalia; Rodentia; Muridae. The record is from RNAcentral.
CCUGGACUCCCUCUGUAGACCAGGAUGGCCUCCAACUCCCAGAGAUCCGCCUGUCUCUGUCUCCUGAGUGCUGGGAU